GAUGAACGCUGGCGGCGUGCCUAAUACAUGCAAGUCGAGCGAACGGACGAGAAGCUUGCUUCUCUGAUGUUAGCGGCGGACGGGUGAGUAACACGUGGAUAACCUACCUAUAAGACUGGGAUAACUUCGGGAAACCGGUGCUACUACCGGAUAAUAUUUUGAACCGCAUGGUUCAAAAGUGAAAGACGGUCUUGCUGUCACUUAUAGAUGGUUCCGCGCUGCAUUAGCUAGUUGGUAAGGUAACGGCUUACCAAGGCAACGAUGCAUAGCCGACCUGAGAGGGUGAUCGGCCACACUGGAACUGAGACACGGUCCAGACUCCUACGGGAGGCAGCAGUAGGGAAUCUUCCGCAAUGGGCGAAAGCCUGACGGAGCAACGCCGCGUGAGUGAUGAAGGUCUUCGGAUCGUAAAACUCUGUUAUUAGGGAAGAACAUAUGUGUAAGUAACUGUGCACAUCUUGACGGUACCUAAUCAGAAAGCCACGGCUAACUACGUG
RNAcentral lists this ribosomal RNA (497 nucleotides) under uncultured bacterium. RNAcentral describes it as "partial 16S ribosomal RNA". It matches the Rfam family "Bacterial small subunit ribosomal RNA", at positions 28 to 507 of the family's 1533-position model. The record is from RNAcentral.